GACGAACGCUGGCGGCGUGCCUAAUACAUGCAAGUCGAACGCAGUGGGGACGGGUGAGUAACACGUGGGUAACCUCCCAUCAGAGGGGAUAACACUUGGAAACAGGUGCUAAACCGAUACUGAUGGAUGGACCCGCGGGGGAUUAGCUAGUUGGUGGGGUAACGGCUCACCAAGGCAACGAUGCAUAGCCGGCCUGAGAGGAUGAUCGGCCACACUGGGACUGAGACACGGCCCAGACUCCUACGGGAGGCAGCAGUAGGGAAUCUUGGGCAAUGGGCGAAAGUCUGACGCAGCAACGCCGCGUGUGUGAAGAAGGUUUUCGGAUCGUAAAGCUCUGUUGUUAGAGAGGCGGUACCUAACCAGAAAGCAACGGCUAACUACGUGCCAGCAGCCGCGGUAAUAC
This 403-nucleotide ribosomal RNA is filed under the name uncultured bacterium. RNAcentral's name for it is "partial 16S ribosomal RNA". It matches the Rfam family "Bacterial small subunit ribosomal RNA", at positions 28 to 526 of the family's 1533-position model. The record is from RNAcentral.